This 440-nucleotide ribosomal RNA is filed under the name uncultured bacterium. RNAcentral's name for it is "partial 16S ribosomal RNA". It matches the Rfam family "Bacterial small subunit ribosomal RNA", at positions 338 to 795 of the family's 1533-position model. The record is from RNAcentral.
CCUACGGGAGGCAGCAGUGGGGGAUAUUGCACAAUGGGGGAAACCCUGAUGCAGCGACGCCGCGUGUGGGAAGACGGUCCUCUGGAUUGUAAACCACUGUCCCCAGGGACGAAGAUGACGGUACCUGGGGAGGAAGCUCCGGCUAACUACGUGCCAGCAGCCGCGGUAAUACGUAGGGAGCGAGCGUUGUCCGGAAUUACUGGGUGUAAAGGGAGCGUAGGCGGGACUGCAAGUUGGGUGUAAAAUCUACCGGCUCAACCGGUAGCCGCACUCAAAACUGCAGUUCUUGAGUGAAGUAGAGGCAGGCGGAAUGCCUGGUGUAGCGGUGAAAUGCGUAGAUAUUAGGAGGAACACCAGUGGCGAAGGCGGCCUGCUGGGCUUUUACUGACGCUGAGGCUCGAAAGUGUGGGGAGCGAACAGGAUUAGAUACCCCUGUAGUC